GAUCGACCAUGGAAACACAUCCCAUGAGUCUCUACUCUCUGCUGUUCUUGAUCUAAUCUGAAGCUACAUGACGUUUGGAGGUGUGUAGUGAUGACCUCUGAAGCUACAUGAAGUUUGGAGGUGUGUAGUGAUGACCUCUGAAGCUACAUGAAGUUUGGAGGUGUGUAGUGAUGACCUCUGAAGCUACAUGAAGUUUGGAGGUGUGUAGUGAUGACCUCUGAAGCUACAUGAAGU
This is a long non-coding RNA of Astyanax mexicanus (Mexican tetra), 234 nucleotides long. RefSeq lists it as uncharacterized. The record is from RefSeq and is a predicted model, not a curated record. The transcript is spliced from 3 exons. Lineage: Eukaryota; Metazoa; Chordata; Actinopteri; Characiformes; Acestrorhamphidae.